UGAAAGACCAAAAACACAGAGUGAAUGCCAGAGUUAGGGAAAUUUGGGAUGGGACUGUAAGAGAUCUUUGCCGGGAUUGGAUUUCAUUUCUCUGGGCGCCCCUGACCUUGCAGUCUCGGAACGCUUCUCCCGCCCCCUCCCUCGGCCUGCGCCUGCCUUUGUGUGUGCCUGUCACUUACCGGGGAUCAGAACGAAGCUGAUUCGGGGGCAGCACAAAGCCAACACACAGAUUUGCCCAGAUUCUCUAACACACAUUUCCUAAACUGGAAGGUACAGCCCACGCAGAGCUUGUGAACCUUGAGAAAAGCGGGUUCUGGUCUUGUUUGGGGGCGCAGAGAAACUGUUCUUUCCUCUCUCACUCAGCGCCACUAACAAAACGCGCGGACUCAAGAGGAAAAAAAAAAAAAGAAAGAAAGAAAGAAAGAAGAAGAAGAAGAAAAACUCCACGUAGUGGAUCCCGAAUCCACUCACUGUGACAUUUGUCUAAUGUAGUCGUCCACGGGGGGACAAACGUGCUGGAAGCCGGAGACACAGACCCAGAACGGGACCCAAACAAAUACUACUGGAGAUAAAAGAGUCAAAAACACCGGGUCGGUGUUCUUUCCGGGUUGUCUGAGGAUAAACGAGGGACUCGAAUGACUUACACUAAGGACAGGGGGGAGGAGGAUCCAAAAGAAAAGUGGUGACCCCCAAAGAUGAGCUCUUUCAGAAAGGCAGCCCCAAGAAAACACUCACUUUGCUGAGACUCAAAGGCCGGGAGAGCGGCUGGCGGGAGGUACAAAGUCCUACUUGGCAAAAUUUGGCUUUUUGUUCCAGUAUCUUCACAGAGCCUUUGUCCGUCCUCAUCCUAGUGGAAAACACCUUGCAGGGUAGAAAGCCCAUGUGGACAUGUGAACCAUCAGCCUUUUCCUGCUGUUUCUUUGAAGUAGUCACAAAAGGAUUAACUUCACUGAUGACCAAAAAAGGCAAAAUUGCCCCUUUGUUGUACUCCUGCCAUUCCUGUCAAGCAAGGAAGUUAGAAGGUGGAAAGAGCGCCCUCUGCUGAACUUGUUCGCGAGACAUGGGUCCUUGGAGACGCCAAUUGGAAAAAAAAUCAGAACCACCUUCGGAGCUUUGGGAAGAAAUAUGUGUGACCAGAAGAAAUAUGUGAAAUACUCCAGUUCUGGAGGUCCUGAGGAGAAGCUCAUGGGUUGGUUCUGGGGUGAAGGUUGUACAUAACCAGACCUUUCAACAGAUUUGUAGGAGUCAGACAUAUAACCACUUGAAAACCACUGGGAUCGCUCAUCUGUGUAACUGUAAUAAAU
Molecule: non-coding RNA, 1304 nt
Organism: Cricetulus griseus (Chinese hamster)
Lineage: Eukaryota; Metazoa; Chordata; Mammalia; Rodentia; Cricetidae
Source: RefSeq, a predicted model, not a curated record